RNAcentral lists this ribosomal RNA (824 nucleotides) under uncultured bacterium. RNAcentral describes it as "bacterial SSU rRNA". It matches the Rfam family "Bacterial small subunit ribosomal RNA", at positions 34 to 848 of the family's 1533-position model. The record is from RNAcentral.
CGCUAGCUACAGGCUUAACACAUGCAAGUCGAGGGGAAACGACAUCGAAAGCUUGCUUUUGAUGGGCGUCGACCGGCGCACGGGUGAGUAACGCGUAUCCAACCUGCCCACCACUUGGGAAUAACCUUGCGAAAGUAAGACUAAUACCCAAUGACGUCUCUAGAAGACAUCUGAAGGAGAUUAAAGAUUUAUCGGUGAUGGAUGGGGAUGCGUCUGAUUAGCUUGUUGGCGGGGUAACGGCCCACCAAGGCGACGAUCAGUAGGGGUUCUGAGAGGAAGGUCCCCCACAUUGGAACUGAGACACGGUCCAAACUCCUACGGGAGGCAGCAGUGAGGAAUAUUGGUCAAUGGACGAGAGUCUGAACCAGCCAAGUAGCGUGCAGGAUGACGGCCCUAUGGGUUGUAAACUGCUUUUAUAAGGGAAUAAAGUGAGCCUCGUGAGGCUUUUUGCAUGUACCUUAUGAAUAAGGACCGGCUAAUUCCGUGCCAGCAGCCGCGGUAAUACGGAAGGUCCGGGCGUUAUCCGGAUUUAUUGGGUUUAAAGGGAGCGUAGGCCGGAGAUUAAGCGUGUUGUGAAAUGUAGACGCUCAACGUCUGCACUGCAGCGCGAACUGGUUUCCUUGAGUACGCACAAAGUGGGCGGAAUUCGUGGUGUAGCGGUGAAAUGCUUAGAUAUCACGAAGAACUCCGAUUGCGAAGGCAGCUCACUGGAGCGCAACUGACGCUGAAGCUCGAAAGUGCGGGUAUCGAACAGGAUUAGAUACCCUGGUAGUCCGCACGGUAAACGAUGGAUGCCCGCUGUUGGUCUGAAUAGGUCAGCGGCC